AGUGGAUGGGGAGCAACCUAGUUGUGCGUGUGUAAAGGUAGUGCCAAGAAAAGCGGUGAUCAUGAUGAAAAUCAAUUCCCGGUACCCGAAACCGACACAGGUGGGCAAGUAGAGAAUACUAAGGGGCGCGAGGUAACUCUCUCCAAGGAACUCGGCAAAAUGACCCCGUAACUUGGGGAGAAGGGGUGCCACCGAGAGGUGGUCGCAGUGAAGAGGCCCAGGCGACUGUUUAGCAAAAACAUAGGUCUCUGCAAACUCGAAAGAGGAGGUAUAGGGGCUGACGCCUGCCCAGUGCCGGAAGGUUAAAGAAGUUGGUCAGUCUUAGGAUGAAGCUAGCGACUGAAGCCCCGGUGAACGGCGGCCGUAACUAUAACGGUCCUAAGGUAGCGAAAUUCCUUGUCGGGUAAGUUCCGACCCGCACGAAAGGCGUAACGAUCUGGGCGCUGUCUCGGAGAGAGGCUCGGCGAAAUAGGAUUGUCUGUGAAGAUACGGACUACCUGCAUUUGGACAGAAAGACCCUAUGAAGCUUUACUAUAGCUUGGAAUUGUGUUCGGGCUUCCUGUGCGCAGGAUAGGUGGGAGGCGUAGAAGGUAUUCUUGUGGGGAUACUGGAGCCAACGGUGAGAUACCACUCUCAGGAGGCUAGAAUUCUAACUUAAUUAAGGACAGUUUCAGGUGGGUAGUUUGACUGGGGCGGUCGCCUCCAAAAAGGUAACGGAGGCGUACAAAGGUUCCCUCAGACUGGUUGGAAAUCAGUCGAAGAGUGCAAAGGCAGAAGGGAGCUUGACUGCGAGAAGUACAGUUCGAGCAGGGUGGAAACACGGUCUUAGUGAUCCGACGGUGCUGUGUGGAAGGGCCGUCGCUCAACGGAUAAAAGUUACUCUAGGAUAACAGGCUGAUCUCCCCCAAGAGUUCACAUCGACGGGGAGGUUUGGCACCUCGAUGUCGGCUCAUCGCAACCUGGGGCGGAAGUACGUCCCAAGGGUUGGGCUGUUCGCCCAUUAAAGCGGUACGUGAGCUGGGUUCAGAACGUCGUGAGACAGUUCGGUCCAUAUCCGCUGUAGGCGUGAGAAUAUUGAGAGGAGCCUUCCUUAGUACGAGAGGACCGGGAAGGACGCACCGCUGGUGUACCUGUUAUGAUGCCAAUUGUAAACGCAGGGUAGCCAAGUGCGGAGAGGAUAACCGCUGAAAGCAUCUAAGUGGGAAGCCCACCUCAAGAUGAGUAUUCUGGUGUAAGGUCACGGGAAGACGACCCGUAAAUAGGCACGAGGUGGAAGUGCAGAGAUGUAUGAGGCCGAAGUGUACUAAUAGACCGUCGGCUUGACC
This 1325-nucleotide ribosomal RNA is filed under the name metagenome. RNAcentral's name for it is "bacterial LSU rRNA". It matches the Rfam family "Bacterial large subunit ribosomal RNA", at positions 1561 to 2925 of the family's 2925-position model. The record is from RNAcentral.